RNAcentral lists this long non-coding RNA (37386 nucleotides) under Ananas comosus (pineapple). RNAcentral's name for it is "long non-coding RNA (ACOM_LNC021915)". Lineage: Eukaryota; Viridiplantae; Streptophyta; Magnoliopsida; Poales; Bromeliaceae. The record is from RNAcentral.
AUAAUUUAUCUAGUUAUUGUGUGACUAAUAAAAUGUAUCAUUUUAUCGCCCAAUAUGCUGACAGAUUCUGACAAAUUGAAAAUAUGCAGCUAAUAGAAGUUUACAGUUAAAAAAAAACUGCCAAGAAGCAAAUCACUGCAAAUAAACUAUUGCUACAAAAUAAAUAACCAGAUAAAGGUACAAAAAGAAGUAUCUGAUAUUAAGAUACUUAGUAUAUAUCUAGCAUUAAACAGCCACCUCCUUUUCCAAUAUUUCACAUAAGGCAAGAAAAAAAAGGAAACAAAACCAAAGAAAAAAAAGAAAAAGAGGAAAGGUUUCACCACAAGCUGGAUUCCUUCUAGCAGUUGAUGCUUCAGCUAGUUGGCCGCUGGAUUCUGGGCCUGAGAGACCAACUUCAGCUUCGAAUACAUGUCAGCGCAAGAUCGGGCAAAGUCGGACAGUGCACGAAAGAGUUCCGGCAAGUGCGUCUUGAGUGUCGUCAGUGACUUCUCUCUAACUUGUUUGCACAGCUUAUUAUACGCCUCAACUUCAUCGUCAAGUCGACUCUUCAGAGACUCCACCAAGAAUUUCCUCUCUGAUACAGGGUCUUUUGGAUUCGUUCCCUCAGUUGCGCCGUCUCCCUCGGCUUCUUCACCUGACGCUGCCCUCCUAUGCGAAUACUUAUAAUACCAGUCCUCGAAAGCUCGAGAUUUCUUCUGAAAUUCCUUGCCCAUUUCUUCGCACUUUUCCUUCUGCUUCAUCUCAUCCUGUUGGAGCUUCAGUAUAGUGUCCAUCACCGCUGCAAAGCUGAGAAGAGCGCUUUUCGCAAGCUCUUCUGGAAGCUUCUCGAGGUGGUCGUUCCAUGCAUGCAGGAGGGCUUGAAUAGGGGGGCGUUGCAUUCUCGGAGGUGACGAUACCUUCUCUUUUAAGCUGCUUUCAAUGGGUAUAAGGUUCAGUUUCAGCCAGUUGUUAAGGGCUUGUAUGUACUCCUUUUGGUGAGUGAUGAGCUUAUGGAACUGUGAAUGCCACUCUUUUACGAUGUCGUGUAGUUCGAUCGUACGUUUGUGGUGUUGUUCGCUCAUUUCCAUUGGAGAGUCUGAGAUGUCGAGGGCCUUGAGGUCUAGCACAAUCUUCAGCUGACUUUCAUGAUGCAAGAACAUCAUUUCCCACAUUUUGUCCAUCCUGAAACAAGGAAGAAAAACCAAUUCAUCAAUUUUCUCCUGUAAAAUUUCAUGACACCAGUAUCUUUAUUAAACCGUAUAAACUAGAAACAAGGGAAAGCUGGUGCUUUUCAAGUGUUAAUACUGGUCCGACUGCAUCAAAGACAAAUUUUAGAGCUACCGAAGGUCUAUAUAUGAUACUCAGAGUUAUAAAUUGCAAAAUUAAGGUAAAGAAUAAGAUGUAAAAUACAUUUCAACAUGAUAGAGUGUUGCUGUCAGAAUUUUACUGGCUAGGGUCAUAAAAGCCAGCAAAAAUUAACCAAGCUUGGCGGUUCCUUCAUUUUAGUGCAACAGACAAUUUUUCGUCUGUUCUAGCAUGUCAUCCUGCUGGCCCUGUUCUUAUGCUUGUUUAAAACCCUUCUCAUUUCCCAACAGCAACGCAAUCUCCCAUGGUCGAACCCGACGUCGUUCACGAUUCCCACCCAACACCAUUAGCGAUUCCCCUUAACCGGAACAUGCCAUCAUCUGCCAUCGCGAGAAUGAUUGUGAUGGACACAUGCUCUUCGAUAGUUCACCUAUUAGCAAGUAGUAAGAAGCCAAAGCUUUUAUAGCACAUAUUUACGAAGAUCCAAGACGAUCUUAUCCUUGUCCAGACUUCUUGUGCAAAAAUACAUAGGUCAGAAAAGACAAAAGUAGCAUAUAUGUAUGUGUACGAGGAUUCAAGAGUAAAUCUUAUCCUUGUUGGGCCUUUGUUGCAAAAAAAAAAAAAAAAAAAAAAAAAAAACGUCUUCAACUAAGGACCAACUUGAUUCUUCUAACCUUUCGACAAUAACUCUUUUAAAGGCCUAUGGUGAAGUCAAUUUCCUCAUCAGAUAAUAAUUCACAUAUCUAGAGAUUCUGGUGCGGAUUCUUUGGAGCAGUUUGUGAGUAAGAUAUUGGCCAGAUUACGUUUGUACAUUUUAUUGCAAGUAUGGGAAAGAAGAGAAAGAGCCAAGGAUGGGUGAAUAGACGUACUCAUCAACAAGGUCAACUAGUCUUGGGUAUAGCUGAUUAUCGCGCAGAUGUUGAAUUUCUGACACUGUUGAAUCCAUCGAUUGCAUAUCAACUAUGUAUCUCGUAUGCAAAUGACUGACGGCUGCUUUAGUUCUUUCCAGUGUCUCAGUAGGCGCACCCCGUUUUUUUUGUUUGUUCAAUAAAGCAACCUUCCUUUGAUACUCAAUUUUCAUAAGCUCACCUGUCUGCACUUCAAGGUGAAGAUAAGAUUAGAGUCAGGACACCAAGAACAGCAGUGUGAUACUAAAAUAAGCAAGGAAACGUUUGGCAACGGAUUUUAAAUCCACUAUGACCAUAAGAACAACAGUUUCCAAAUACAUGUUAGUAUGUCUAUAGGCAGCAGCAUGACCGUUCAUGCAAACUGCUCACAAUGCACUAUUUAAUAUAUCAGACUAAUCCAAAGAUCACAAAGAGAACUAAUAAGGAUGGGUCAAUCAUAAAGACAAAAAUUCAUAUUCCAUUGCAAAAGUAGUGGACAAAAUGUUUGAUGCCCAAUAGCCUCACCAGGGAUUAUGAUGGGGAAUAUAAAGACUUUGUAUUCUAGUACUAAUAAUCAGGAUUAAGCAUUUUUGGCUAGUGGUUUGAACCCAACAAGUCAUUAAUGCCUGUAGGCUAGGUGGUUACAUUUGGCACUACCAAAUUGCCAGAUGGAAGUGUGAGGUGGGUCUCAUAUCACCCAGUGAUUCCGAAUAUGCAUGUGGAUUGGGCCUGAUGAGGACAUUAGGGCUUAAAUUGGGGAAGCAUAUGACAACUAAUAGUUCCAUUGAGGGUUAUAAUUGGGUAAAUAAGUACUUAAUACUCAAACACUAAUAAUUAAAACUAAACAUUUUGGGCAGGUGGUUUGGACCCAACAAGUUAUUAGUGUUAGUAGACUGGAUUAUUAUAAAUAGCCCUAAAAGCAGCCAAUCUGGCAUGUGUUAUUGCAUAUGCAGAGUCCGAUGAACUAACACGUGAGCGCCCCCAAGUAUGCUAAAUCAGCAAACUUUUCAUUAUUGCAGUCUGCAAAUUGCUAUCAAAAUUAGAUAUAAGCCGCUUUCCAUCUUCGAACUGACAACCACUGAAAGAAAGACAGCAAAUCACACUGUACUUUACAAAAUCAAAGCAAAAGAUGAAUGAUUUACCUUUACUUCCUCAUAUAACUUUUUCUCCCAAGCUAACAUCUUAUCUAAUACCGUCGCAUGAGUUUCUCCUUCAUCAUUAUCAAAGUCAUCCUUCCCAUCAUCAGCAUUAGACAUGCCUUUAAAUGACCUAUUCCACGUAAUGACUUUCAUUACUCUUGCGGAGUGAUCAAUGUGCCCUACAAGACAGAGCACGUGUAAAGACAGCGUAAAAAAUAUGCCGAGGGCCAAUAAAUAACAAAAAAAAGCAAUGGACCAAAGAAAAUUUAGUACUCAAUAGACUGCAAUACGUCUCAAACCACAACAUGCCAAUCUGCUAAUAGUCAGCUCAAAUGACAAAAAAACAUGGGUUAAUUUCAUACAGGUCCCUGCAAACAUGGUGAAUAGCAAAUAUAUCCCUGCAAAGUUCAACUUUCAUAAGUUAUCCCUGAAAAAGUCCUAAUGUAUUCAGAUAUGUCCCUGCCGUUAAUCUCCGUUAGAGAAUCUAGUUAACCACAGUUAAAAUACUUAACCAUAGUCAGUUAAUAAGGUAAAAUGACAUUUUUACCCUUCUUCCUCUUCCUCUCCCUCUCCUGCUUUUUCUUCUUCUUCCUCUUCCUCUCUUGCUUCUUCUUCUUCCUCUUCUUCUUCGUAUCCUCAUUUUCCUCUUUUUUCCCUCCUUCAUCUUCUUCUUUGUCGUCGUCGUCGAUGAUCCGAUCGUCGUCGAUGAUCCGAUCGUCGUCGCCGUCGUGGUGCCCGUGUGGGCCGUCGUCACAGGCGCCUCCGACGGCAUCGACUGUGCUGUGACCCCGACAAGCUCCGCAACCCCGUUGGCUGCAACCCCAACAAGCUCUGUAAGGUCGCCGUCGCCGCCGUCGCCGCCGUCCGCUCCCACAGCCAGAAGUGGAAGAGGAAGAGAAAGAGGGCAAAAUUGUCAUUUCACAUUUCUGAUGUUAAAAAAUUAACAGUUUUCUAACUGAUCCUGACCAGAGGGACAUAUCUAAAUACAUUAAGACUUUUGUAGGAAUAACUUAUGAAAGUUGAACUUUGUAGGGAUAUAUCUACUAUUCACUAUGUUUGCAAGGAUCUGUAUGAAAUUAACCCAAAAAAGAGGAUACAUAAAUGUAAUAUCUGGAUAUCUGGAUAAACAGAGGUGAAGGUAAGAAGGGGUAGGGGGUUUGGGGUGGGAAGAAAUCAAAGUGGCUUUAAGGAAGAAUAUGCUAUUGAGCUAUCAAAACAACUCAUCCCUAAAUCAAAGGUGAUACAAUGAACGUGCUAGACUCAAACAAAAGAAAAGAGCUCAGGCAGAGGCAUCAAAGCAUCUGGUUUUUGAGAGAUUGUGAGUAGCAGAAUAUAUACCUUUGUGCCUCUAAAAAGGUAAUGGAAACACUUGUCCAAGAUGAAUAUAGGAGGACUCAAAAAACAUAUAUGAAAUGUCACAACAUGAAUCUAAUACAACUAUGAAAGAAUAAAAUAAAUGUAUAGCAAUCACAUGAUAAACAAUAAUUCAGCACUCCAGAUCAAACUACCCACGUAAUAGCCCAUAAAUCAAUACAAGGGAUAUCGACACCUCGUGAAAAGGUUUCAGAAUUUAAGAACAACCACGACAUUACAUUUGUCGCAAAUGGCACGGUGAAAUGAAGAAAACGUUAAAAUUUGCGGUGGUCGAUUCUUAGCAUUCAACAAAGUUAACAUUCUAGAGAAAAAGUAAGUAUGAGCUAAUGAAGGAGCAGGAAAAGUUGCAUCUUAUACCUCUACCGUCGACAAAAUUAGAGUGAUAGUGCAUCCGAGUCGCCUCCAACUUUUUUGAAACCUCGUGAGUGCUCUCGGACGCCUUGAGGAAGUGCUCGUCGAGAUCCGUGAAGACCUGCAAGAGAUUCACACUCCGCUCCGCCUCCGCUGCAGAGGCCGUUUUCCCCCUCGUGGCACCGUCGAACGGCGGCGCCGAGGCCGUGUGCUGGUGGUGGCGGCGGUGGAGUUGCACGGCACCUCCCGGCUUCGGCUUCUGCUUCUGCUGCUGAUUCCUCCCGGCCGGAUUCGGCGGCAGCGGCGGGAGCGGAUCGAGCGGCGCCGCGGCCGACGGCUUCUCCGGCGUCCUCGGCUCGCUCGAAUCGUCCGUCCGCAUUGGGCGGGGGGCGGGGCGGGCGGGGGGGAGGGGGAGGGGGGUGGCGAAUUUCUCGUCCUGGUGCUCCGCGUCCCGCUCGGGGCGGAUCUCGUCGUCCGCCGCGGCCGCGCAUGGACUCGUCAUGGCGAAGAAGUGUCCCACGUGUCCAUCCCCCGGGACUCCGGCAUCGGCGGCGGCGGGCGCGGCGUGGCCGUCUUCUCCGGCGCCGGCGCCGGAUCCGGCCGGCGGCCGCGGAGGCGGCCCGCUCCUUAGGGCGUAUCUGGGGCGCUUCGUCCCGCUCCUCCUCCUCCUCCUCCUCCUCGUCCUCGUCCGUUCUAGGAUGGGGCGGGGGAAGGCGGGAGGGGGCAUGCUGAUGGAGCGGUGGAUCUUGGGAGGGGAGGGGAGAAGUCGGGGAGGGGUGGGGGAGGGGAGGAGCGAUUCCAUGGCGGCGGAGGAGGAAGGGUUAGGGUUCGGCGGCGCUGCGGCGUCGGCGGGGUUUUGUGGGGUUGCGUCGGAGGGUGAGGAGGGGAAUGGGAAUGGUCCUGGUGGUGGUGGUGGGCGAACUCGGAGAGGGAGGCGCCGGUGUUCUUGACGCGACGGCGUAGGCGGAGUGGCCGGCGGCGAAGGCGCUGCGGGCGGAGACCGCCGACCGCAUCCACUGCCGCCGCUCCUUGCACCUCGCCACCGCCUCCUCGUUCUCUAUCCUCGACUGCGCACACCCCAUCCUCUCCCCUCUCUCUCUCUCUCUCUCUCUCUCUCUCUCUUGAUUUUAAGAGCUUUUGCUUUUUUUUUUAUUAUCAGGGAUGGCGAAGACGAAGAAGAAGAAGAGGAUGGAGCAUUCUUUUUUUUUUUCUGUUUUUUCAGAUCGGGCUGCCGGGCGACGGAAGAAGGAAGGAUGGGCGCGCACGCACGGGACCCGAGGAGGAAAUGCAGGCGGCACAGGACGGAUCUGUGUUUGUGGGGUGUGGGGUGUUGGGGUAGCGGGCAGCCUGCGUGCACUCUGAACUCUGAAACGCGGCUGACAGACCAGCAGCAGCAGCAGCGUGCUCGCUAGCAGUGCUUUCGUUUGGACGCUUGCCGCCUCGGAAGGCGGAAGCACGGCUUUAAAAAAGUUUUAAAAAGAAAUUUUAUGAUAAUAUAAUUUGAUAAAAAUAAAAUUAUAAUUAAUUAUAAAUAAAAUUGUAAUAAAAAAUUCGAAAAGAGAGCGGUAAGGUGGACGCGCGGAACGGCGGGCACAGUUCUCAACGACACUGCUUGAUUCGACACGUCCUCCAUCCAUCCAUCCAUCCACACCGCACGGCGCGAAUCAUAAAACAGCAUCGAACAAAAUUUAUUGAUUCUUAUAUAGGAAUCUCAUCUUUAUUAUUAAUUUAUGUAAUCACGGUUUAAAAUUUUCUCUUACAAAUUUCUUUCUCUCCUAUUCUUUCAUCAUUCUUUUUUUUUUUAACAAUUUUUUUUUUCAUUCCGAUUUUUAUUUUAAUAAUAAACUUUUUUUUUUUUAGAUAAUUUAUUAUUUUAUUAUUCAUUAUAAUGUAAUUUAAUUCUAUUUCGUAUUUUGAUACCAAUCAUUAACUAAAUAUUCUUAGAUUAAGUGAUUUAAUUAUAGAUGUCAUAUUUCUGUACUUGCAUGCGUCCUGACCUGGAUCAAAAAUUUCUGCCAAUUUAUGUCAUAAUAACUGAUCGUUUGGUGACCUUAUUUUAUAGUGCAACCGAAUAAUCAGUUGCUUUUGUGAAUAUAAAAUGGUAACAAUUUGUCUCAUCUGGACAAGCUUUGCGAGAGGUCUAGGGAAGCAGAUGUUGGCUCACCAAACUCCAACCAUGCAUCACAGAUUCACAGUUAAAGCCUUAUUCACAGGGGCUUUGCUGUAGAGAAAGAAAGAUAUAUUAUUGUUGAUUGGUUUAAGUCCCCUUUUUUUUAGUAUUUUUUGCGUACAGAUCUUUUCCUACAAAAUUUAACUUUUAUAAAUUAUCUCUAUAAAAAUCCUAAUGUAUUCAGAUAUGUUAAUAUUCUUUAGAGAAAUCUAGUUAACCACGAUUAAAAUACUUAACCAUAAUCAGUUAAUAAGAUAAAAUAAUAUUUUUACCCUUCUUCCUCUUCCUCAUCCCCUUCCUCUUCUUCCUCCUCUUCCUCUUUCUCUCCUGCUUCUUCUUCUUCCUCUUCUUCUCCGUAUCCUUAUUUUCCUCCUUUUCUCCUUCUUUUUCUUCUUUGUCGUCGUCGUCGUCGUCAUCGAUGAUCCAAUCGCCGUCCCCGUCGUGUGCCCGCGUGGGCCGUCGUCACAGGCGCCUCCAACGGCAUCGGCCGCGCCUUUGCCUUCCGCCUCUUCCUAGUCUUCGUUGGCCACAACCUCGACAAGUUCCGCAAGGUCGCCGUCGCCGCCGCCGUGUGCUCCCACGGCUUGAAGAGGAAAAGGAAGAGAAAGAAGGCAAGGACAAAAUUGUUAUUUUACAAUUCUACUGUUAAAAAAUUAAUAGUUCUCGAACGAAUCCUAAACAGAGGGACAUAUCUGUAUAUAUUAGGAUUUUUGCAGAAAUAACUUAUGAAAGUUGAAUUUUGAAAGAAUAUGUCUAUUAUUCACCAUAUUUGCGGAAACUUAUAAAAAAUUAACCCUUUGUUUGAUAAAAAAGAGUUAUAAAGAUUGGAUUACUUCUUGUCUAAAAGUCUUCUCAAAAACCAUACCGCUAAUAUGUUUAAAAUUUUAAAUUUAGAAUUUCGAAUAUCAACUAUCAAAUUCUUAGCCACUCAGGAACUCACCACUAGCCCUUAAUCAACAGUGUUAGGUAUAGUAGAUUGGCUACAGUUGUAUGGGCCUUGCAAAAUUAGUGAUUUAGUUGGGGAGCAUGUUGUAUAUGCUACUUAGAGAAUGUGUGGUUGCUUAAAAAUCAUUAAAACAAAUAAUAGUAAUAAUAAUUUCAUGGAAAAUAUAUUUUUUCAUACUUUUUUAGAUAAAAAAAUCAGUCUAAAAAUUUCAGAAAAUUUUUUUUCUGAAAAUCAAACAGAUAAAAAAGUUUUUUAUCUAAAAAAUUAUUUAAAAAAAAGAAAUUGUAUAGCGAACCAACACCCCCAUUAGCAAAAAUUUCUUACAAUAUAUGGUUUGUAGAAAAAGAAAGCAUCUUUUCAGUUUAGGUCUCUUCACUAGGGUGUGUUUGGAUCCCUGUAAAAUUCCUCCGAAAAAAAUUUUCGGUUGAAAUUUUUUUUUUCAUGUUUAGUUGUCCGUAAAAUUUUGUUUGGAAAAGUUAUUUUACAGAUUUUGAAAAAAAAUUGAGUUUUCAUUUUCCGCAUGCCGUCCACAGAAAACAAAAACAAAGAUGGAAAAGUGCGGCAUUGAGCACGGAGGGUAGCAGCGUACAUGCACGGUCCACGAGGCAGCUUCGGUCUCGUGGACCGCAUGAGAGGGAGGUCCACGGUAGACCUCCCUCUCAUUAUAUAUAUAUAUAUAUAUAAAAUAUUUUAUUUAUAAAUUUAUAANUAUAUAUAUAUAAUAUUUUAUUUAUAAAUUUAUAAUUAUUUAUUAAUAUUUUUAAAUAUAUAACUCUUAUAUAUUAUGUAAUAUAUUUAUUAUAAUUUUAAAUAUAUUUAAUCUAUAUAUAAAAAUUAUAAUAAUAAUAUAUAUAGUAUAUUAAUUAUUAUAUAAUAAUAAUAUAUAUAAUAAAAAAAUAUUAAAUAGUUUUUUUUUUUCUUUCAAUCAAACAACCACCAUGGAAAACUAUUUUCUUUUUCUACAAACCAAAUACUAAACUACGUAAAACUUUUUUUCCACUAAAUUUUUUUUUUUGCAGUUUUACGUCAAACCAAAUAGUCCCUAAGGUACCGUUUGGUUCGGGUAUAAGCAAAAACUAGCUAUUACAGGGAUAGGUACAAGUAUGGAGAUAAAGAACAACUUUAGAUAGUUUUAUAUAGAAAAUUGAGGUAUUGGUGGGGAUAACCGAGAACUACUAUUUUUAAGUAAAAAAUUAGCGUUAGGGUAUAAAAGGGGGAUAAGGUCUAUUUCUAUCCCUAUCUCCUAACUAAACGCUGCCUAAAGGAGUAAGGGUGUGUUUGAUUACCCUAAAAAAAAUAUUUCGAGCUUGUCUAGCGUUGAUUUGACGUAAAAAAAAAAUUUGAAAAAAUUAUUUUACGGAUUCUAAGGAAAAUCGCGUCUCAGGCUCUUUCUUGCAUCGGGUCCACGAGCUCAUGUAAGAGCUCGUGGACCGCGUGAGUGGUCCACACUGUUAUAUAUAUAUAAGAGAGAGGGAUAAUUAUUAUAUAUAUUUUAUAAUUUUUAUAAAUAUAUAUUUUUUUAUUAUAUAAUAUUGUAUACAUACUAUAACAUAAUUUAUCAAUUUAUCAUAUAAUAAAAUAUUUUAAUAUAUUUAAUUUAUAAAUAUAAAUUCUAAUAAUAAAUAUAUUAUUAUAUAUAAAUAAUAUAUAAUAUAUAAUAAAAAAUGUUAAAAAAAAAUUUCUUUCGACCAAACAAAAAAAUUAUUUUUUUUCUCUACAAGUCAAACACUAAACGACGUAAAAAAAAUUUUCUACUAAAAAUUUUUUUUCAUCAAAAUUUUUUUUUCAAUAAUUUUACGUGAAAUCAAACACACCAUACAAAGUAUUCAAUUUUCAUUUUCCUGAAAAAAAAAUUAAAACAGUAAGAAUUAUUGGCCCCUGUAUGGGUGUUUUUGGGUAAGAGUAAUAGUACAGGUACUCCACUGACUAGACCACUACUUUUAUAUUGUACCUCUUAUGGGUAAAACAAUUUGAAAUUGAGACCCAAUCCUUAUUAUAGAGAGAAUAAGGAAAUGAGAAUGCCCUACCACUUUCCAUUUGUUUUUGUUGGCUUUAAGGCCAACAUCCUAUUCUAUUAUGUGACGAUCAGAUUGAUUUGAGUCACGUUCGAAAUAAUAAAAGAUCAAAUUGUACUAAGUUAUAUUCAAAAUAGUAUGAGGUCAGCUGAUUGAGUCACAAUCGAAACUUAUAAAAGUACUAUGUCUGUAAGCUUUAAGUGGAAUUGUUGGGUUGUAUGCAGGUAUAACAAUAUUAUAGUUAUAGUAUAUGAAAAUUUAAAUCUGUUUAGUUCAAUGCGUUUAAAUUCAAUUACAAUAGUUGUAACUGCAUGAGGCCUAAUUGCAGUGGUUGGAACAACGUCUAAUUUUACUGCAGUUCCAACUAUAGUAGUUAGAUAGGAAACUUUUAAACAAAAAAAAGCAUACCUCACUAAUUAUUUUUUAAAUAAAAAAUAUCUCCACAUUGGAGGUAAUCAUUAGUACAUAUAUAAAAUGAUAAAAUUUUACAAAUACAUUUCAGUUUAAAAUUUUAGUUUAAUGUGUUUAAAUUCAAUAACUACGUCUAAUUUUAGCUUGUUAUGUUUAAUUUCAUUGGCUACGGUUGGAAUUCCACGAAGCCCAACUGCAGUAAUUAGGGCUAUAUCCAAUUUUGCCGAAGUUCCAACUAUCGUAGUUGGAAAGAAUAAGUUUAAAUAAAAGAUAAACCUACAUAUAUAUAAAGUAAAAAAUUUUUACAAAUACACUUCUUAACUAUAUGUAUCUAAUAAUUACAAAAAAUCUCUACUGCAUCCAACCAAACAAGAUAUAUAUAAUUAUAAUUGUUAUCACUAACUGUAUGCAUUUUCAUCUACAUUAUAUAUUUAAUUACAUCCAAACAAACAGCCUCUUAAUGAAUUCACUCUUUACUCUUUUUCAUAAAAUAGCAAUACAUGGAUGCGAAAUUAGAAAAUGUUUCAUUCAACAACCACUAUACUUUCGAGUGUUAUUCAAAAGAUCGUGAUUUAAAAUCCCACUUUUUAAAAAAAAUUAAAAAAAAACUCAUAUUGUUACACCAUAAUGUUUAAAAAAAUUAAACCAUAAUGUUAAAAGAAAAAAGAAAAAAAUAUUAUUGGUGAGCAAAAAUCAAAACUAUUAGGUGUUCUCAUAUACUUUAGACUUUAACCAUAAUAAUGCUGGGGAAGUGAUGUAGUCAAAGCAAUUUCUUUCACUAUUUUAAGAAUACAAAAAAUUCUAAAUUUUUUAGUAGAUACAUGUAACUAUUCUGAAAAUUUAAAAGUAACUCUAUCAAUAUCAAUGAUUCAAAUUUCUCUUUUUCUUUUUUUUUGGGGGGCAUCAAAAUUCUAAUUUCCUUCUCAUUUCUUUUUCCAACUUGGGAUAAUCUCAAAGUAUGAUUGCACAUGACAAUUUAGUACUCAAAUUUUAUUUGUUGCAAUUUUUGGCUCGAACUUUCAGAAUUAUUGUAAUUAAGUUUCACAAUCUAGUUUAGUUGGCUAAAUUUUAAAAUAUCGUUGAUGUAAAAGUGAUGUGGCAUUUUAAUUAUUGACGCAUCAUCAAUUAUAAUAUUACUAAAACCAAAAAUUACCAUAAUUCUAAAAGUUAAAACCAAAAAUUAUAAUAAAUUACAGUUUGAGAACUAAAGUAUUACCGGCCUCAACGUUCGAGGACCAAAUGUGUAAUUUACCCUUCCAACUUCGAUGCAUAAAGACUGACCGUCCCCAGAGCAAGUGACAUUUCCAGCUAAGUUUAUUUCUAAAUAAAAUAAACAAAGCAGAUAGCGUGCUAUCCUAUAUCUCUCUCUCUCUCUCAAAAAAAAAAAAAAAAAAAAAACUUCGAUUCAUAAAGCUCGAAUCUCCAGAUAAUCUAACCGCUGCUUGAGUUGAGUUUACAAAUAGUGAAUUAGACCAUCUCGCCGUGGAAAGGCUCUUCAUGCAAUAAUUGGUCGUGUCCACUGGCACGGGCUGUAUCCGAGAAAACACGAGUUGGGCUCGAUUCUUCAACUUUAGUUGAACCAACCUACCCACCAUUUUUUUUUUUAUAUUAAUCUGGCCCAUCUUAUCAAUUUUGGACCAAGCUGGGGCCUAAAAUCUAUUUAUAUUAUUAUUAUUAAUUAUUAUUAUUAACUACAUUAAAGGAGGGUUUGGGGGGACCUUAGAGUGACACGUGUCCCCCCAACCCUCCUCUUCUCUCUCCUUCUACACACACACAUAUAUAAUACAAAAUUUAAAAUUUUGAUAUUUUUAAAUUUUAAAGUUUUAAAUUUUAAAUUUAAUAUUUUAUAUUUUAAAUUAUAAUAUUUAUUUCCAAAUUUUAAACUUUUCAUAAAUUUAAAUUUUAAAUUAUUUUUAUANAAAUUAUAAUAUUUAUUUCCAAAUUUUAAACUUUUCAUAAAUUUAAAUUUUAAAUUAUUUUUAUAUAACUUUUUAUUUAAUUAAUAAUUAGACUUAUAAAACUAUAUAAAAAUAUUAAAAAAUAUAUAAUUUAUUAUAAAAAUAAUUUUAUAUCCGCAGUAUCGCGCGGGGAAUUCACUAGUGUUACAUUAUUCAUGGGACUUUCCCUGAAGGAAAAAAUGUAUAGAGACCCCCUAAACAUCAGUAUUUUGCAAACAGAUAUCUAGACUUUUAAUUUUGACACUUCAAAUUCGGAACUUUAUCAAAUAGUUCAUUGAGCUCCAGGAACUUUGUUUAAUGAACGCGGUCUAUUAAACUGCUAAAUAUUUUAAAUGCUAAAAUUAAAUGUUCAAGAAGUUUAUUUAUAAAAUUACUAAAGUUCAGGGGGUACUUAUACCUUCUUUUUCUUUUUUUUUUUUUACUUUCAUUAAUUUCCACAUGCUUGCUCAUGUACUUUCUCCACAGCAGUCAACAUGUGAGAUAACAAAAUAAAAAUUAAUUCAUAAAAAUAAGAGAUCUAAGCACAUGUGUUGAUUCCACCUGCAUGUGUUUAGUGCUCCUCUCUCAAUGGGGAAAGCAUUGGGAGACAUCAACACAACCAAGAGCCUAAUCCUACUCUAAUUGGGGAAUUAUUUAUCUUUUACUAGUGUUCAGUGUUGUUUGAUUUGAGUCUUUUUGUUUUUUCUUAUGUUUGUUUUUUUCUUUUUUGGGUUUCACCAUUAAUUGUUUAUAUUUGUGAAACUGUGGUCCAUUAGAUUCACACCAUGUGGCAUUUUAAUUUUUUAUUAAAAAUUUAAAAUAUAAAUGAGUUUUUAAAAGGAAGCAAACAGGUGGUCCAUUAAUGUAACAGUGUUUUCCUUUUUUUAUACUGUAAUUUUUUUUUAAAGUUGUCCUUAAAAGUAAAGUGACAUAACUAGUUGCAGUAGUUAUGUCGCGUUAUCUAUAAUUUUUAAAAAUAUAUACAAUAAACAUAUUUUUUUUAAAAUUAUGAUGAGACGAGUGAAUCAAAAGACAAUAAUAUAUACCGGUGCAUUUUAGCUUUUUUCCUCUUUUAAUAAGGAUGUCUUUUUGGUAAAAAUGUAUGGAGACCCCCUAGUUAUAUGUCAUUCUAAACUGAACCCUCAAACCUCCAUUUUUUGUAUUUACGCCCUUGUAUCUUCUAAGUUUUUAUUAAAAUUGUUUUAUUUAUUUAAAUUAAAAAUUUUACUAAGUUAAGGGCUCAAUUAGCUAUUACCAGUUAAUUAAUCCAGUUUCAUUAAUUAGAAAGUGAUUAAGACUAUUUAAGUUGGUAAAGUCCUCCGGUAUUUCCGUUAUAAUCGAUUAAUUUUCAAAAAAAAAGAGUCUAAAGAGUGUCAAUCCAAAAUAAAUAGUUUAAGCUACUAAAGAAGAGUUCAGUUGAGAUACUAUCGAUAGUACAAAGGGUUUGGUGCUAUCGAGUAUUCCACCGUUGGAUUUAAUCAUUUUAUUAUUUUUACCCGUUAGAUUAUACUAUUCAACCAACCACCCACUCAAUUCUAGGGGGGCCCAUAUUAUCUUAACCGCAUAUUUCUCGAUCCAAUGGCUAAAAAACUAAUAGCACCAAUAACUUAGUGCUAUUGAUAGUAUUCCAGCCUAGUUCACCAAAAGAAUGUGUCUUAAUAUUCAUAUAUAUAUUAAUCGAAACUUUUUUUUUCAUCGAGAUUUUUUUUUAAGAGGUACGUAGAAUAAUUAAAUAGGAUAAAUAAAAUAAAAUAAAAAGCGUGACGAGACUCAAAUAUAGUAUCUUUUAUUCUAAUAAUAUAUAUAUUAAAGGGAACAUCAAUUUAUAUGUUUUUAAUAUUUACAUUUUUACUUGUCCCAUUGUACUUUGGAACAUGCUCUUUCCAUUAAAAUGUUCUCUUAAUUUCCAUAAAUAAACAAGGCUAAAUUUUUCUACUUUGGAACCUAUGCAAUACACUCCAUAACGCGACACGUAUUCCUCACACUUCGGAGGAUUCCCUUCUACAUGUGGAAACAAAAAUAAAUGACGUAGCAUAGGUAAUGUAUGGGAAUUUUAUCCAAUAUUUUAUACAUGGGACCCUCUUUUUGGUUUCGAUAUUACCACCUCCUAGUUAAAUGUUACUUUUAUUUUUUUUUUUUAAUUAUUUUUUAACUUUUUAUUGUGUUUGUAGGUUUUAAACCUGCGACCCCUUUUAAAUUUAGAAGACUAUUGCAGAGAGUGAGAAUGCAUGAAGCAUGAUAAAAAAAAUAUUACCGACCGUUCCUAGAGCAAGUGGCAAAGAGCUUGGUGGUUGGUAUCCGAGACCCAAGUUCGAAUUCUAGUUGAUUCACAUUUCUAGCUAAAUUUAUUUCUAAAUGAAAUAAACGAAGCGGGUAGCGUGCUACCUAUCUCUCAAAAAAAAAAAAUGAUAGAAAAAAUAUUUUGUUUGUUCCUGAGAAAAUAUCACGUUGUGUAUGUUGCAAUGAAUCAAUUCUAUUGUUUUAUUUUUUUGAUGAGCAAUAUAAUAUAUACUUGAUUCAUGUUAAUGUUUAAGAUAUUAUAAUUAUCAAUAAAUUUAUAAUACUUUUCUCAUAAAUGCAGAUCAAAAUAUAAUUUUUAACUAUAUAUUUUUAAAUAGAGGCAGUUGAAACCUCCCCUACUUAUUGUUCCUAUAUAAAAAUAUUUGUAGAGACAGUUUACACCAUCUUUACAGAUUAAUAUUUGUACAGACAGUUCAAAUCGUCACCCAUUUAGGACUAUUUCCGUCCUAGCACGCUUAACUCUCUUAACCUCUUGGACUUAGCCACCAUCCAAAAUACAUAAACCAGGUUAAGAGUUUUUGUGCUAUUAUAUCCUAUAUAUGAAACUAUAUGAGUUCUCACAGUUUCUACACCAAAGAUACAAACUAUAUCCUUCGAAAGCGUUCUUCGAAAGAGGGACGACACCGGUACCUGAGCGAGGCAGUAGAUAGCAAUCAUAGAGAAAGAUACCACCAUGCCAACAUCACUCGCCUCCGAUAUCGAAUGGUGAACUGCUUAUUCUAUGGAUUUGAGCUAGAAAGCUCCCACUCGGUAGAUUCAAACAGACCACAGCAAUCUAGCAAUCACCCCCGUUCUUGUCGUGAGCACACCGUAGUCCAUUCACCUCACUGUUGGUGAAAACUCAAAAAUUUAAAGUUUGAAUUUUAUUCUAUUUGAAUUUUGAAUUAUCAUUUAAUAUUCAUUGAUAUUUAUUAUCUUAUUUAUUUAUUUAUUUAAUUUCUUAGUGAGAAAGGAACUAACGGGAUAUUUCCGUUCCGUUUCUUGUGCCAAAAGGAACUCGUUCCGUUGUGCGGUUCCGCUUCUUUCUCGUAAGAAAAAGAGCGUGAAUUCUCUUUCCCUUUCUUUGAUACUUUGAUCUCCUUUUUUCCUUCUCAUUGAAAAAUGAGAUUUAGAUAAUUUUGUUAAUCUUAUCUUUUAUUAUUUGAAUAUUCUUCUUAUCUACUGGGUGUUGAGAAUCUCCGUCAACCUCCUUCACGAUCGUGCUCGCAGAAUGAGGAAUUCCGGUCGUACCUUGGGGUGUUAUUUCCGAUUAAUCCCGCACUUAAGGACGGGAAUACGCCUUAGGGCAGUGCCUGGCACGCUUCCGGAUAAGAUCAUAUCUUUAUUGGAAUAUUUGCGUCAUCUGUAAGUUUGAUUUAUUUAUUGUUAUCACAAAAUUAGUUAGAUUUUAAUCACAAUCAUAUUCCUAUGCGAUCUUUGUUCCAACACUCACACACUCUUAGCUCCCUUUAGUUGUCCUCGCAAUAGUAGAAUUUCUUUCUAGUAAGGGGUUGGAACAAACCGAGAAAUGUGACAAGCGAAGUCAAGCUAUAGAAAUAAGCUUCUUCUGGUUUAGCAAUACGAACGAGUCCAAACUCAUCAACAAAACCUAAAUAUUAUCUAAAGUAUUUAAAAUAUAUUUUAGAAACUAAAGUUGCACCAUUUGGGUAUCCUAUUCAUUUACAUAAAACAUAGAAAAGAAUAAACGGAUUAUGUAUGAUUUGAGCAUAAACCUUAUGCUCAUCCAAGAUGUAGAGCAACACUGAACACAUUAUGCAUGAAAAAAGCCCUUAGUUAUGUGGUUAGAAUAUAUAGUUUAAGAGAUCUUAUGAUAAGCUCAUUUAAACCUCCUAAUUAAUUAACUUUUUUCAAAAUUUUCUUUUAGAAAACAGUUUUCCACAUUACUCUAGUCAAGUGUAUCAUUGUGCAUGGUUAUCUAUCCACAAAAGAUAGUAAAUUCCUGAUGUAUCAAUAUCUUUAUUUUUCUACUAUUAUUAAUUUUUAAGAGAACUGAGACUUUAAUUUGCUCCUUAAUUACCUCGUAUAAUAAAGUUCUCCCAACUAGGAUUCAAACCCAAUAAAUGAUUUCAAGUUUCGACCACAUGAUCCAAUUUGUGUACAACUUCAAAGUGACAACUAGCGUGAAAGUAACCAUUUCCAAUUGUUUUACUUUCGUUUAAUUUUCCGAGUUUUUGUUUCUUGUAAGAUUAUAUAUAAAUUUUUUAUUUUCAUAGAGACAAUGCCGAUGUCACGUUAUUUUUCGGUGCUUCGGUGUUUCAACCGAAAUAUUUAAACCUUUUUCUUAAACUAAAUCAUGCCAACACUACAUUAUGAAGAAACCAAUCUCACGUUGAUGACUCCAAAUUCAACCUAAUCAAUACCUUAAUGAAGGAGCUAGAUUAGAUAAUUAGUACUUAGUCCACAAUUUAUUUUAUUUAGUACAUAUUAUCUAUUGUAUCUCAUCAAACUUAACCAAACUGAGUUUAUGAUUAACUCUAACCCCUAAUGAUCACCAAACUUAUUCAAAACAUUAAUAAGUAUUUAUAAUACUACAACAAUUAGGACAAAUUGACUCUGGAAACUCGUUGCAUCUAAAACAUUAGCAUGGUCCAAAUAAGAAUAAAAUCCAAGUUGUAUAUAUAUCUCCCAAUAAACCCAAAAGAAAUGCCACUUCUCACCACAACAACAUGAGAAUAAUUCCCAAAGCAAUGACUUUUUAUGUAGCUUUUCUACUCCACGAAGCAAUACUAAGAUUCUUGGGAUACCAAGAAAGGAAAAAACCACAAAGCUGAAACAAGCUUCUUAAUUAGUUCUCGAAAGUCGAAUUUGUAAGAUUGAAACGUAUACGUGUGUGCGUUUAUUUAAAACUGCUGAAAAGAUUUUAAUAGAACAAUAAUUGUACUCAAAUAAUAAUUGCACAAAACAUCGUUAUAUAUUAGCUUUUUAUGAAAUGUCAUAUGCAAACCAUUCUUUUUUAUUUUGGUCCCUCUCAAAUUAAUUAAAGUGUUUGAAUAAUAAGAGAGAGAGAGAGAGUGAGAGAGAGAGAGAUUCAUUUUAGCAUGAUCUUAAUCUAAUAAGCUAAACCUAACCAACUCCUACACUAAUUCCUUUUUUAUAUAUAUAAAAAAAAAUUCUAUCCUGUGGAAGAGCCAUGCUUAGUAAGCAUGCUUAGUCACUACACUAUACUAUACCCUCCAUCUUUAAAAAGUGCAAAAAGGUCACAGUAAAAGCACCAAUCCAAAAAUAAGAUGUUAUUUUUUUAAACAAACAAAUAACAAUAAAUAAUAAUAAUUAAUAAUUAAUUAAAAUGCCAACUCCGAGAGAAUCGUAAAAGGCCUUAUGUUGGUGGGAUUCUCUCCCAUCCAUAUACGUGUACGGCCGAGAUGUGCUCCCGCCUCAUCACCGCGGCUCACCAACCUCAUCAAAUCCCCUCGGGGGGCCGGUGCACGCGACACGUGGAACCCACCCAACGGGAUGAGGCCACGUAUCCCUCGAGAUAUUUUGGGCCACGAAAGAGAUAUUUGCGCGCGGCCCUCCACGUGUCGCUCUGUGGUCCCCUCGGAGGCGCGUACGAGAGCAUCUGACGCACGAGGGGCCAAUGGGUUGUGGGGCGGGAGAGGCAAUGCGAUGCGAACACGCGUCCCCCGUAUGGGGGCCACACGUGUCGGUUCCACAAGCGAUCCCAGGGAGAGGAUGGGCGCGACGCGUGGCGAGCCGGGCCUGUCGCUUCGGACGAAACCGCCGGUCCGAGGCCCGGCUCGAACCGAACCCGGUUCGGAGCUUCGUGCCGCAUUUUGCAUUAUAGGCCUCAUAGUGUUUGCUAUUUACAAUUUAGUCCCUCCUCAAAAUUCUCCACAGGCCAUCGAUUUUUGAAUAUAUUCAAGUUAGAAAGGGCUUUGAAGCUCUUUAUUUAUUUAUUUAUUACCCACAGUAUAUCUAUCUGGAACUAAAACUUUUUUAAAAAAAAAAAAAAAAUUUUUGGUUGCUAGUUUUGUUAUUAACUCUCUCUUUUCUCAUGAACAAGUGCUACACUACAUUGCAUAUUAGGUUAUUUUUAUACCCUUUAUUAUUCAGUAGUUUAUAAAAUGCUGUAAUUAGUAAUAUUUUCAAAAGUAAGUUCUAAUGUAAAAUUAUAAUAUAAAUGUUAGAAAAUCAAAAUGUUAUAUUUUUGGGUCUAAACUACAAUAAACAAGAUGUUACCCAAAAGAAAAACAAGGGCUUUUCUGAAAAAAUUUUCAAGAGAGAAUUUAGGGCUUUUUUUGCAAAUAGCUCCCUGACAAAAUUUUAUUUUAAAAUUGGCCCUGUCAAAAAUUUAUUUGCAAAAAUGGUCCUGUCCCUGCCACGUAAGCGCCACGUCAGCGCCACGCGGGCGGGGCAGGAGUUUAAAUUGAACUACACGGUGAAUAGUUCACCGUGUCCAAUACAAAGAUCCCCACUUAGCCAAAAAUUGGCUAAGCCGAGUUAGUUAUUUUGGAUACGGUGAAUCAUUCAUCGUGUCCAAUACAACUACCUAGGACUUAGUCAUUUUUUGACUAAGGCUGUAUUAGUAUUGAACACGGUGAAUGGUUCACCGUGUUCAAUAUUAUAUUUGUAUUGGACACGGUGAACCAUUCACCGUGUUCAACUUAAACUCCUGCCCCGCCCGCGUGGCGCUGACGUGGCGCUUGCGAGGCAGGGAUAAGGCCAUUUUUGUAAAUAAAUUUUUGACAUGGUCAAUUUUAAAAUAAAAUUUUGUGAAGGGACUAUUUGCAAAAAAGCCCGAGAAUUUACUAUCACAAGAUACAAUCUAUAAAUAGUAAGUGUUUGUACGAUAGUUGCUGUUGAAGAGAUUCUAAUUCAGAGUUCGAUAAAAAAAAUUUCCUAAUGCGGCAAUCUCUGCGUAGCCACGUUGCGCGUGCGCAAAUCUCGAGCAUUUAUUGUUUGCUGCGCCCCCCGAAAGGGAGGCGGGCUUCAUGUUUCAAAUUUUACCACAGUUUUUUUGUGGUCCUACAAUAAAUAUAUAAAUAUAUAUAUAUAUAUAUAUAUAUAUAUAAUUGAGCUCCUAUAUUUUUAAAAGUAUCAAGUUAUUGGUGCUUGUAGAUUUUUAGCCAUUGGAUUAAGAGAUAUGCGGUUAGGAUGAUGUGGGCCCCCUAGGGUUGAGUGAGUGGUUGGUUAAAUAGUAUAAUCUAAUGGUUGAAAAUGAUCCGAGGAGUAGAUCUAACGGUAAAAAACUUACAAGCACUAAGUGCUUGGUGCUUUUACAAGCAUCAUAACUGGACUCUCUCUCUCUCUCUAUAUAUAGAGUUGAGCUAGAAUACUAUCGAUAGUAAUCGAGCCGUUUUACUACCGAUUUGUUUUCGAUGAUAAAGCUUCCAAAUUGACGAUCGGCUCCGUUAAAUAUGAUCUAAACCAUUUAAACUACUUAGAAAUCAAAUUUCACGCACUUUCGAUAUUGUUCUUUUAUCCAUCAAGUGAACAGAAAAAUGAAUGGUUAAAAAUGAAUAUUCUUUAAAAAAUGAUGAUAGGAGUCUUGUAAUCAAGAUCAAGAGUAUAGAUCUUGUUUUAAAUAGUUUAUUCAAUUGAUUUGGAUAUCUUUACGCCGUUAAAUGAGAAAACGCUUUUUAUCGACCAUUAAAAUUAUAAAUUUUGGAACCCUUUGAUCAUUAGGCAAAUGAUGUUGAAAAGAUUUGAAAUUUUGAUUUCUAAACACUUCAAGUGGUAUAAAUUAUGUUCAACAGAGCCGAUUGUCAAUUUGGAAGCUCUAUCAUCGAAAAGAAAUAGGUAGUAAAACGGCUCGUUUACUAUUGAUAGUAUUCUAGCAAAACUAUAUAUAUAUAUAUAGUUGAGCUAGAAUACUAUCGAUAGCAAAUCGGUUCUUUUGCCAUCCAUUUGUUUUCGAUGAUGGAGCCUCCAAAUUGAUGAUCGGCACCGUUGAACAUGAUCUAUACCGUUUGAAAUAUUUAGAAAUCAAAUUUCAUACAUUUUCGAUAUUGUUCUCUUAUCCAUCGAGUGGACACAAAAAUGAACGGCUGAAAAUAAAUAUUCUCAAAAAAUGAUGAUAGGAGUCUUGUAAUCAAGAUCAAAAGUAUAGAUCUUGUUCUAAAUAGUUUAAAGAAUUGUCUAACAAAAAUUUAAUUAAUUUGGAUAUCUUUACACCGUUAAACGAGAAAACGCCUCAUAUCGACCAUUAAAAUUACAAAUUUUAAAACCCUUUGAUCAUUAAGCAAAUGAUGUCUAAAAGAUUUGAAAUUUGAUUUCUAAACACUUCAAGUGAUAUAGAUCAUGUUCAACGGUGUCGAUCGUCGAUUUGGAGGCUCCAUCAUCGAAAACAAAUAGGUGGCAAAAGAGCCCGUUUGCUAUCGAUAGUAUUUUAGUUCAACUAUAUAUAUAUAGAGAGAGAGAGAGAGAGCAGGGCUACUGUGCUCUCAGGAGCACGGAGGCCUCCGUGCUCCUGAGCCGUUUUCGAUGAUGGAAUUUUCGAAUCAACGAUCGGCUCCGUUAGACUUGAUCUAGCGCAUUUGAAGUUUCUAGAAAAUAAUUUUUGUGAUUUUUUGAUAUCAUUUACCUAGUGAUCGAAAUAAUUCAAAAUCUAUAAUUUUUAAUGGUUGAUAGUUGCCGUUUUCAAGUUUAACGGUAUAGAAGUAUUCAAAUCAGAUGAAAUUUUGAUACAAAAUUCUUUAUACUAUCUACAACAAGAUCAAUAUUUCUGAUCGAAAAUUUUAGUCCUAUAUCACCACGUUUUAUAGGAUUUUUAUUUUCAGCCGUUAAAAAUUAUUGAUUUUGAAUCCUUUCGAUUACUAGGUAAAUAAUAUCGAAAAAUCGCAAAAAUUAUUUUCUAGAAACUUCAAAUAUGCUAGAUCAAAUUUAACGGAGCCGAUCGUCGAUUCGAAAAUUCCAUCAUCUAAAACGGCUAAGGAGCACGGACUCCUGAGAGCACAACAGUCCUGCUCUAUAUAUAUAUAAGCCUUUUUAUUUCUCAGUUUCUAGUCCUUGGAUCUACUCCUUGAUUACUAAUAGUUCUUGGAUCAAACACUAUUCCACCUACCAUCAUCUACCACCAACAUCCCAAACCUACAUCUCUCCAUCCAAUGACUAAAAACUCAAUUGCACCACCCUCUUGGUGCUUUUGAGAGUAUUCUAGCUCAACUCUAUAUAUAUAUAGAGAGAGAGAGAGAGUUGAGCAAGAAUACUUUUAAAAGCACCAACCUCCCUUGGUGCUUCUAGAUUUCUAGCUCUUGGAUCUACUCCUUCAUUACUAAUAGCCUUCGGACCAAACACUAUUCCACCUACCACCACUUACCACCAUCAUCUCUACUCUACAUCUCUCCAUCAAAUAGCUAAAAACUCAAAAGCUCCACUCCUUGGUGCUUUUGAGAGUAUUCUAGCUCAACUCUCUCUCUCUCUCUCUCUCUCUAUAUAUAUAUAUAGAGUCCGGUCGGGAUACUAUCGCUAGCACCAAGAAUUUGGUACUAUCAAAUUUUUUACCGUUUGAUUUAACUAUUUGAUUAUUUUUAUCUGUUAGAUUAUAUUAUUCAACCAACCACUCACUCAACCCUAAAGGGCCUACAUUAUCCUAACCACACAUUUCUCAAUCCGAGGGCUAAAAAAUUAAUAGCACCAAUAGCUUGGUGCUGUUGAUAGUAUUCCAACCUAGUUUUAUAUAUAUAUAUAUAUAUAUAUAUAUAUAGUGUAGAGUUACUAUGCUAUCGAAAUUAUAGAGGAUCCGAUGCUUCUAAUUUUUUGACCGUUGGAUCAAAAAUUAUACGGUUGGGAUGAUUGCAAAAAAUCGGAAGCACUAGAUCCUCUAUGCUUUCGAUAGCAUAGUAACUCUACUUGAUAUUUUAGUCCUUCGAAAAUAAAGAAAAUAUUUUUCAAAUUUUGAGGGGCAUAUAAGAUAUUAUCCCUAUAUUCAGAAGAGGUGAGUAGAGAGGGGUGGGGGGAGGGGGGAGAGGGGUGUGUGGGGAUUAGGAGUGACCGAAGUGGAAGGAGGGGGAGGGCGGGGAGUCGAGGCGGAGCCAGAGGUUCUUGCCCCUGCGGCCGGCGGCGAGGAUGGUGCGACCGAGGAGGGAGGGCGGACUGACGCCGACGCCGACGCCGACGACGACCUUGGGGUCGUCGGCCACGCAGCACCCCACGAUCCUCCUCCCCACGCAGUGCCGCUCCAGCGCCCGCCGGGCCGCCUCCACCUCCGGUAGCUCCGGCAUCACCCCUGGGGAAGAAUAUUCGGUCGGUUCCCACGGUCUUUAGUGCGGCCGGCAGUACAACACGGAAAAAAUUGAGUGGGAAGUAGGGGUCGAAACGAGCCGAGCUCGAGCGAGCUUAUCUGGGCUCAAAUUCGGCUUGUAAUUAAUUUCGAGCCUAAAUUUAAGCGCAAGCUUGGAUUGAAAUUAAUUCAAGCUGAGCUCGAGUGAGCCUAAUUUUGAGUCGAGCGAGCUCGAGCCCUAAACGAGCCGCUUGAAAUUCUCAACAUCAUACGAUNNNNNNNNNNNNNNNNNNNNNNNNNAGAGUUGAGCUAUGAUACUUUUACAAGUAUCACCAUCAUGGUGCUAUUAGGUUUUAAGUCAUUGGAUCUACUUUUGAUUAUUAAUAGCCCUUGGAUUAAACACUAUUCCACCUACCACCACCUACCACCAUCAUUUCAACCUCACAUCUCUCCAUCCAAGGGCUAAAAACACACAAGUAUCACUCUCAUGAUACUUUUAUAAGUAUUCUAGCCCUACUCUCUCUCUCUCUCUCUCUCUCUCUCUCUCUCUCUCUCUCUCUCUAUAUAUAUAUAUAUAUAUAUAUAUAUAUAGUCCCCUAUACUAUCUAUGUUACCGGGGCUCCGGUACUAUGGUCUCGUUUUCGAUCUUUGGGUGUUCAAUUAACGAUCCACACCAUUAAAACUGAUUUAGAGUAUUUAAAGUUUUUAGAAAUAAAAUUUUAUAUUUUUUCAACAUAGUUUACUUUAUGAUCAAACUAUUUCAAAAUUGUCAAUUUUCAAUAACUACUAUAGCGAGUUUGGAAUUUAACGGUGUAGAAUAAUCUAAAUUUCUUCAAAUUUUGAUAGAAAAUAGUUUAAACUAUCUAGAUUAAGGUUAACUUUCUUGAUCUUGAAUUUAAAAGUCCUAUGUUCAAAUUUUAAAAAUUAUUCAAUUUUCACCGUCCAUUUUUAUAUAAUUUAUUUACUAAGUAAACGAUGUCGAAAAAAACUAAAAUUUAUUCAUAAGAACUUCAUAUAUCAUAAAUCAUAUUUAACGUUGUGGUUCGUUAAUUUGAAUACACUAAGAUCCAAAACAAGACUAUAGUACUGGAGCUCCGGUACUAUAGAUAUAUAUAUAUAUAUAUAUAUAAUAGGUCUUGUGUGCUAUUAGGAGCACAGAGGCCUCCGUGCUCCUAAGCCGUUUUCGAUCAUGGAGAUUCUGAAUCGACGAUUGACUCCGUUAGUCUUGAUCUAACGUAUUUGAAAUAUUUAGAAAAUAAAUUUUGCGAUUUUUCGAUAUCAUUUACUUAGCGAUCAAAAGGCUUCAAAAUCAACAAUUUUUAAUGGUUGAUGUAUACCAUUUGUAAGUUUAACGGUGUAGAAGUAUUCAAAUCAAAUAAAAUUUUGAUAGAAAAUUUUUUAUACUAUUUACAGCAAGAUCAAUAUCUCUAAUCGAAAAUUUUAGUGCUAUAUCACCACUUUUUUUGAGAUUUUUAUUUUCAGCCGUUGAUUUUGAACACUUUCGAUCGCUAGAUAAAUGAUAUCAAAAAAUUGCAAAAUUUAUUUUCUAGAUACUUCAAAUAUGCUAGAUCAAGUCUAACGGAGCCGAUCGUCGAUUCAAAAGUUUUAUCAUCGAAAACAGCUUAGGGGCACGGAGGCCUCCGUGCUCCUAAUAGCACACAAGACCUACUAUAUAUAUAUAUAUAUAUAUGAGUGCGUCUGGUAUGCUUCUGGAAGUACGGAGCGCUCCGUGCUUCCAAGUUGUUUUCGAUGUUCAAACUUUCGAAUCGACGAUCAGCUCCGUUAGACUUGAUCUAGAGUAUUUGAAGUAUUUAGAAAAUAAAUUUUGCGAUUUUUCGAUAUCAUUUGCCUAGUGAUCGAAGUGGCUCAAAAUCCUGAAAACAGAAAUCUUACAAAAUAUGAUGAUAUGGCAUUAAAAUUUUAGAUCAAAGUUAUUGAUCUUGUUUUAUACGGUAAGAAUUUUUUCUAUCAAAAUUUCAUGUGAUUUGGAUAUUUCUACACCGUUGAACUUGCAAACGGCUCACCACGGCCGUUAAAAUUAUUGAUUUUAAGUCCCUUCGAUCACUAGGCAAGUGAUAUCGAAAAAUCACAAAAUUUAUUUUCUAGGUACUUCAAAUACUCUAGAUCAACUAUGACGGAGCCGAUCGUCGAUUCGAAAGUCUGAACAUCGAAAAUAACUUGGAAGCACGUAGAGCUCCAUGCUUCCAGAAACAUACCAGCCCACUAUAUAUAUAUAUAUAUAUAUAGUAUACUUAUACUAUAUAUUAUAUAUGAUUGAGCUAGAAUAUACUUUAAAAGCCACAACUCUUUGGUGCUUUCUAAGUUUCUAGCCCUUGAUCUACUCCUUGAUUACUAAUAGCUUUGCCAAAAUAUUCCACCCUACUACCUGAUCUUCUAACCUCAAUCUCUCUAUCCAAUGGCUAAAAACUCAAAACACCACUUCCAUGGUGCUUUUGAGAGUAUUCAUUCCAGCUUUCUCUUCUCCUCGUCGUCUCUCGUCUCUCUCGCACCCUGUGUCUCUCGUCUCUCUCUCUCUCUCGUCUCCUUCUCAUACUAUAUAUAUUAUUAUAUACCAUCCAAAUCCAAUAAUUCACUAGCCAAAUUAGAGAAAUUAUGGAUACAUGUGUGUACAUCACGCGCGAAUUUAAUGCUCAUUAUUAGUUCGUCUCGUACAAUUCAAGAACUCAGAUUAAGGCUGCGUUUUGCGUUGGAGGAGAUAUCCCAGAACAAGGCGUACUAUCCCCUCCAAACACAAUGCAUAUUGGAACAACCGGGUUGUUCCCCGGAAAACAAACGCCGUAUUAAGCCGCGAACAAGCCGGUAGACUUAUUCCACUACAAAGUGGAAAAAGCCGGAACAAGAGAUUUGAGUUUUUUUUGUUCUGUUUUUUUUUUUAUGGCCUUUAUUAAUUUUUUAUACUUUAUUUUAAUUAUUUUCAAAUAAAUUAAAUGAAUGCUCAAAUUUAUAAGAAUAAAUAAUUAAUUAUAAUAAUUGAUUUUAUAUAGAUAUAUUUAUAGCCCUUAAGAUUUAUUUUAUAUAAAUAUAAAUUAAUUAAUUUUGAUUAUAUUCUAAUUUUAUUAAGUUUAUCAUUUAUAAUUAAUAUUAAUUAAUUUUAUUUAUAUUAAUUAUAUAUACAUAAAAUUACCUUUUUUCAUAUAUUAUUAUAUUUUAAACUAUGUAUUGAAUUUAUACUUUAAAAUUUUAUAGAUAAUAUAUUUAUACUAUAAUUUAGUCUAUAUAAUAUAAAUUAAUCUAAUUUGAUAUUAUUGUAUUUUUAGUUAAGUUUUAUUAUUUAUAUAUUAUAAUUUUAUUAUUCUAUUUAUAUUAAGUAUUAUAUUAUCAUAAAAUAUUUUAUCAUAUUAUAUAAAUACUAUAAUAUAUGUAUAUAUAUAUAUAUACAUAUAUAUAUAUAUUAUAUUAAUUGGUAUUUUGAAUUUUACUUAAAUUUUAUGAUAAUAUUUUAUACUUAAAUUUUAUAAUAAUAUAAUUUGUAUUAUAUAAUAUAGAAAUAAAUAUUCACAUAAAAUAAUAUAUUAUUAUAAAAUAAUAUCAUAUUAUUCUUAAAUUAAGAUUCUUACAUAAAAUAUUAUGUUAUAUAAUUACUAUAUGAAAUAAUUUUAUAAAUAAUUUUAUAAAAAUAUACUAAUAAAUUAAAUUUUAUUUUAAACAUAUAUUUAGGACUUUGUCUAGAACGUUUUUAUCCAACGCCUAUUAAGGAUAUCCUCUGAGAUAUCCUGAUGCAUACCAACACAAUAUACAUUGUUCAAUCUUAAUACCGCGAUAUAUCCCUGUUACUCCUGGAAAACAAAAGUUGUUCCUCAAAAAUUUAGUUCUCACAACCAAACGCAGCACUAAGAGAUUUGUAAGACUAGCCACCAGCCUUGCGAUUGCAUUUAUAGCCUUGCGAUUGCAUUUCCGUUGCAGCAAUAAAUCGCAAUAGAAUAUCUAUCUGACUCUCAAAGCGUCAUUAAUGCUAUUCCCACUAGAAAAUGUUUUUGUCUAACUCCCAAAUACGUAAGAUAAUUAUCUUUUUCUUUAAAAUAUAUAUAUAUAAAAUUUAUCCAAACUAUACAAAAUUUUGAUUCCCUUAUCUGAUCUUUCAAAAUUGGAUUUUUAAUAGCCAUCCUUUUCAAUACUCUUUUAAAAUUUAAACCACUAAAAUAGCUUUUUCAAUAUAAAAUUUAGACCAGUUAUUUAUUCUAAUAAAUUCGUAGUUUUAUGAAUUGUUUAAAAUAUGUAACCUAAAGAUAAUCUACGUAUUCAAAAUUUAAAAAUUAAAAAAUUAUUAAAUAAUUUAAAUUAAAGUUUUUAAAAAUUAGAUAGUUAAAUUAAAAAAAAAGGGAAAACUUCAAAAACCCCCCUUGUGGUUUCAAUUUUUUUCACUUUAGUACCCUGUGGUUUAAAAUGUAUCAAGUUAGUACCCUGUGGUUUCUCACUUUAUCACUUUAGUACCCUGUGGUUUAAAGUGUAUCAAGUUAGUACCCUGUGGUUUUGUACUUUAUCACUUUAGUACCCUGUGGUUUUAAUUUGUAUCAAGUUAGUACCCUGUGGUUUUUUAAAUCACAGGGUACUAAAGUGAUAAAGUGUGAAACCACAGGGUACUAAAGUGAUAAAGUGCAAAACCACAGGGUACUAGCUUGAUACAUUUUAAACCACAGGGUACUAAAGUGAUAAAGUGAGAAACCACAGGGUACUAACUUGAUAAACUUUAAACCACAGGGUACUAAAAUGAAAAAGUGUGAAACUACAGGGAGGGUUUUUAAAGUUUUCCCAAAAAAAAACUUCAAAUACCAUCCCUGUGGUUUCACACUUUCUCACUUUAGUACCCUAUAGUUUAAAGUGUAUUAAUUUAGUACCUUGUGGUUUAUUUUUAUUUUUUUAUUAUUGAUUCCGCUAAUUUUUUUCGUUAAAUCACUAACGAAGUUAAAACUACAGAGUAAUAGGAUGAAUAUUCGAUAAACCUAAGUGGGUAUCUGAAGUUUUUUUUUUGUAUAUAAUUUAACAAAAUAUUAACGAAAAAGCUGACGAAAAAAUAAAAAUAAAACCAUAGGACACUAAUUUGAUAUAUACACUUUAAACCAUAAGGUAGUACUAAAGUGAGAAGUGCGAAACUACAGAGAUGAUAUUUGAAGUUUACCCUCAUUUAAAAUGAUACGAUAGUUCAAAAAUAUUUUAUAUUUUUUAUUAGGAUAAAAUUUAGCCGUGCGUAUAAGAUGUACGGAGACAAUAUAAUUUCCUUAUUAAUAAGUAAAAAAAAAAAAAAGAAAAAAAAAAGUGAACCGGCAAAGUCGUAAAGAAGAUGUGUUAUUAAGGACCGGUCCACUCUUUUUAUAAAUAGAGUUUCGAGCCGAACCGGAAGAAGAACAAGCCGCAGGUGUUUACGGACGCGCGUAUAUUAGCUGCCCCACCCUCACGUCUCCCACCUACGCCCAACGCAAGCACGGAAACUCCUCCUCCACAUUUCUAAGAGAGACAGAGACAGAGACAGAGAAGGAACAUUUAAAACAUCCAUCCAAUUCAUGGACGACCGCUCCCGAGACGCCGCCCGCGACAUCUGCAGCACGAGCUACGGCGGCGGCGGCGGCAGCGAAAGCAGCGGCGGGAGCAGACCCGGCAGAGUCAUCAGAAGCAGCAGCAGCGGCGGCAGCAGCGGCGGCGGCGGCGGCGGCGGCGCUGCUGGGGGGGACGUGAACGCGGGGAUCAUGGACGAGCGGGUGCUGGUGCUGGUGUUCCGGUCGCUGAACUUCGACCCGCGCGCGGUGGGCGUCGCGGCGUGCGUGAGCCGCCGCCUGCGCGCGGUGGCGGAGCGCGUGCUGUGGCGGGAGCUGUGCAUCUCGCGCGCCCCGCGCAUGGUCGCCGCGCUGACGGACGGGCUCUCCCCGGCCGGCCGCGUCGGCGGGGGCUGGCACGCGCUCGCGAAGCUCCUCUUCUUCUGCUGCGGCUGCGCCCCCUCCCGCUUCUUCGCGCUCGCCGCGCCGCUGCCGGGCCACUUCGCCCCGGAGUCCCGCUUCUCCAAGACCUCCGGCCGCAGCUUCCUGGCGCGCCGCUGCUGGGGCGACCUGCUGUACGUCAGCGACCCCUGCGAGCACCCGGCCGGAGGAGGAGGAGGAGGAGCCGGGGCGGCGGCCGGCGAGGACCUGGGGUCGUUCCGGGGGGUGUUCCGGGGGUUCGUGCGGUCGCGCACGCGGGCGUGGCUGGUCGGGCGGCAGGCCGAGCUGGAGGCGCGCGUGCGCUGCCCCUACUGCGGGGCGCGCGUCUGGAGCAUGACGGCCGCCGGCCUCGUCCCGCGCAGCGCGCCCCGCCGCCUCGGCUCGCGCGACGGCGGCGGCGGCCUCGAGUACUUCGUCUGCGUCAACGGACACCUCCACGGCUGCUGCUGGCUCGCCCACCUCUCCGACGACGACGACGAUAACAACGACGACGACGACGGCGACGACAUCGGCGACAUCGAUGAGAGCGGCGUUGCGUGGUGAUUGAUUGCAGUAGGAAAUUUUGCAGCUGAUCAAUUGCUCUGUUUGGUUGAUUCUUGCAGAGGCGGCGCCAAAUUGGUACUAGUUCUUUUUCUUUUUUCUUUUUGGGUGCUCUUUUUUUUUUUUUUUUUUUUUUUUUUUUUUUUUUUGGGGUUUGCGUCUGCUGUGAGCUCUCUCUGUUUUGCUUUAGAUGGAAUAAAACCAUUUGGUAAUUGCGCUCAGUUUGGAGUGGUUGUUUUGUUUGCUUUUCGUACCGUGCGGCUAAUUUACGGGGUUAUGAUUUAGUUGUCCCGUGAAGAUGUCGUACGGGCCGGAUUCGGAAUUGAUUUUUAAAAAUUUGAACUUAACAAACAGGACGACCAAUUUCGAAAUUCAAAUCCGUACCCGAAGGACUGAAUCUGAUCAAAUACUCAUUUAAAAAGUUCAAAUUCCAGAAUAAUUAUUUAUUUAUCAUAUUUCAAAAUAUAUUAUAUUAAAGUUUUAAAUUUUAAACUACAAAUUUAAAAUAUAUAUAUAUAUAGUUUUAAAUAACUAUAUAUAUAUAUAUAUAUAGUUCGGCUACUAUGCUAUUAAUAGCAGGAAGCACUUGGUGCUACCAAGUUUUCUGUCGUUGAUUUUUUCUUUUUGAUCAUUUUCACCUGUUAGAUCAUACUAUUCAAUCAACCACCUACUCAAUUCUAGAGGGCCGACAUUAUCCUAACCGCACAUUUCUUAAUUCAAUGACCAAAAAAUUGGUAGAACCAAUAACUUUGUGCUAUUAAUAGUAUAUUACCCUAGUUCUCUCUCUCUAUGUAUAUAUAUAUAUAAUUUAUUCGGAUGUGGAUUAGAUACGACAAAAUUCAUACUUGAAUCCGAAUUUAUUGAGCUUUUACAUUUUAUUCCUAUAUCCAAAAUUAUAUCCACUUAGCAUUUACUUAUUCGCUUUGCGGUUGUUAUUGAGUUUCGGAUAUGCAUAUCCAUCAACAUCCCCAGUUGUACAUCUAUCAGGUUGCACAGUACUUGUAAUUAUUUUGGGCCGUAGCUUAAUAACUUUUGCCCAGUUUUUGGAUUUGUAAUUAUUGUAUUUUGGCACAUUAUUCAAAUUAUAUUUGGGACACGUCAACAUUGUAUCUACACCGCAAAUUAAAUUAUGCUGUGUCACAAUCAAAAUUGAUAAAAGUUUGUUUAUACGUUUUAAAUAAAUCGGUUGUCUAUAUUAUCAGCUCAAAUUUUUAGAAUUAGAAUAGUAUUUUAUACCGAUAAUUUUUCCAAAUAAUAUUGUAGAGCAUAGUUGUAAGAUAUAUAUAUAUCUAUAUGCAUUGCAUUUCUAGAUCCAUGUGCAUUUGCAAUUUUACUUAAUUUUUGGCUCAAACAUAUUAAGGGUUGUGGUUAUCCAAACAAACUCUGAUAAAUGAAAGGGAUUUAGUACUGAUCUCUAACUCUACGUAUCGAGUUGAACCAUAGUGCAUUCACAAGCACGCAACUUCGUUGUAAUAGUACAAUUACACAUGGUAUAGGAUAUACUUAAAAUGUUUACAUGAUUUUUCAAUAUUUUUUAUGAAGUUUUUAGUACUAAAUUUGAUAAUUUUAAUAGCCAAAAUGAACCUUUAUACAUGUAAACAUUGUAAAAUAAUAAUUCGUAUUGUUUGAAAAUUUCAUUAAAAAAUAUACUAUAUCUCAACUAAGAUUGAUGUGUCUGAAUUGUAUUAUUUAUUUUUAUUUAGCUGUUUUUAAAUAAAUUAAAGAACUAUAAAAUUUGGAUUCCGAAGAUUUUAAAUAUUUUUAAAUUACGUUUAAUGAUAUUGAUCUUCGAUUUAAAAAAUAAAUUGGAGGCACGAAGACAAAUUUAAAAAAUAAAUUGGAGGCACGAAGACAAUUGUACGCCCGCCUUCUACAAAUAUUAAGCUUAGCACUUUCACCUCAUUUAUAUCCUGUGGAUAUCUAAUUCAAACAUCAUUAAACGUUAUUUAUGAAAUUUAAUUUUUUUUAAUGAAUCACAUUAUUUUUGAAAAUUAUUUUACAGUAUACUAAUGACUAUAAAAUAUACAGCAAAUAACUCAGUUAAAAUUCUUUAAAAGUAAAAACUGGUUCUUAAAUUCAAGGUCCGGAUUUUAUAUCUUAAUCUAAAUUGUUCAUGCCUCGCUUGGAUUUGGAAAUAAGUUAUCCACUGAUACACUAUAGGAUUAAUUUUAUACAGAUCAAUGCCAGUAUAGUAAAUAACAAAUAUAUCCGUACAAAAUUCAACUUUUAUAUGUUGUCCCUACAAAAGUUCUGAUAUUUUUAAAUAUGUCCUUAUAGUUUGUUAUCGUUAAAGAACUGUUUAUUUUUUCAAUUUUGCCAUCAUAAAUAUGUUACUCCAAAAAUCAUAACGGUAUAAUAUAAAAAUAAUAAAAACAUCAAAAACUAACCAAGAUUAAAUAUUUAACCUAUGGUUAACUAAAUUUUUCUAACGGAUUCUAACAGUAGGGACAUUUUUGAAAACAUCAUAGUUUUUACAGAAAUAAUAUAUGAAAGUUAAAUUUUAUAGAAAUAUAUUUGUUAUUCAUUAUGUUUACAGGGAUCUGUAUGAAAUUUAUCCAUUAUUACAUGGUAUAGCAUUUUCUAUUGUGAUUAAUGGCCAGGAGGUUGGACAAGUGUCUCGAAUGGAACAGUAUUAAACCCCUAAUUUUUUUUAAAAAAAAAACUAAAAAUCCAACUUAAGCAGCUCAAGCUGCUAAGUUGCUAAGUUUCGAACUUUCGAUACUAUUUAAUUACGAUUUGCUAAAACUUUAAAAUUUUAAUUUUGAAUAAGUUUCAAUGAGGUUAUUAAUUAUUUUCACUAUAAAUUUGGUGUGAUGUAAAUCAUUCUUUAGUUUUUUUUUUUUUGAGCUAAAUUAAAAAAUUAGGGGUUGCAUUUUAUCUUCUGUAUUUUUUUUUUUUUUUUUUUUUUUUUUUUUUUUUUUGAUGAUCUAUGACAUUAACUGUAGAACUUUAUGAAAAGAAUUGACAGAUAAUAAUUGUUAUAUUCAAGUAAAUUAUCCUAUAAACAAUCAAAUUUUAUAGCUUCAGUUGAGAAAACAUUUUUUUUUAAAUUUAAAUUCAGUAUAUAGUUUGUAAGUUAGGUUGCUGUUCAAUUAGCGUGCUAAAUCAAAUCAUUUUAGUAAAGUUUUACGUCUGAAUUUAAUUAUUAUUUUAAAAGUUUUAAUUUAUUUGAAACAAUGGUAAAAUAUAAGGUUUAAAUCAAAGCAAAAUAUUGAAUACUUGUGCAAUUAUGGAACUAACAUGAUAUGCCAAAUUAAUUCAGUAAAAUUUUGCGUCGGAUUUCAAUGAUCAUUUAGGAUUGAAGGUGUGAAAAAAAAAGUAAAAAAUAUAGAAAAUUUUCCUAAAUUAUGGACCAUUUUAAAUUAGCUAUCGAAUUUUUAAAAAUUUUGAUUUUAUUUGUUUGAUUUAAGUUAAUCAUCGAUACUUUGACUUUAAAAUUUAAUCUAAUUACUUAUUUUAAUAAAUUUAUAGUUGCGAGGAUUAUAUAAAUUAUUAUAUUAAUUAAAUUUGUAAUUAUAAAUGAUGCAUUUAAAAUUUAAAAUCAAAACGUCGUUGAUUGACUCAAAUCAAACAAAUUGAAAGAUUGAAUACUAAAAUCAAACUUUUGAAAGGUUACACAACCAACUCAAUAUGAUCCAUACUUUAUGUACGUUCGUUACAUUUUGAAUAAAAUUGCCCAUUUGGUUCUCAAAUUAUGAACUUUAAUUUAUUGCAUUUUCUUUCUCAAACUUUUAGGAUUAUUGGAACCACGUCCAAUAAUUCAAUUUAGAUGACAAACUAUUGAUGUAUCGUUAAUAUAAAAAUAAUACAUUAGUGUUGCAAUUUAUAACGCGCUAAAAAUUAAAAUAUCAUAUUAUUUUUACGUAAGCAAUACAGUGGUAUCUAGCCAACUAAGUUAAAUUAUGAGACUUAGUUAUAAUAAUAAUUUUAAAAUUAAGUGAAAAAUUAUAAUAAAUUAAAAAUUUAAAAUUAGAGCAUCACCUAUUUCAUAGUUUGAGCUAGGGAUGUCAACGAACCGAACGCGAGCGAGCUGGGCCGAGCUCGCAUUCGCUUGUUUAUUAAAUGAGCCAAACACGAGUUGGUUGAAAAAUUCAGUUCGUGUUCAGUUCGUUUAUUUACGUGCCAAGUACGAAUUGGCUCGCGAACAAUAAAUUAGAUUUUUAAUUUUAUUACUGGAUAAAAAAUUUUAAAAAAAUUUAAAAAUUAGAAUCUUAAUUUAAUAAUUAAAAUUUAUAAAAUAUAAUUUUUUUUACGUACCAGUUGGCUUAAAAUCUAAACAAUACAAAAUUAUAAUAUAUAUGUAAAGCUAUAUCGAUCCGAAUACGAGCGAGCUGAUCCUAACUCAUAUUUGACUCGUUAAGAUUUUGAACUGAAAUUUUUUCGAUCAACUUUGAACUCAUUUCUGUUCGAACAAGUGCAGCCUCACGAACAACGUGCUGGCUCGCCGGCGCUAGUUUGCGCCACAUUUGAGGUGUAUCCUUAUUACAUUUUUAUCCAAAAAAAAAUUUAAAUAUAUAAAAAUAAAAUAAAUAUAAAAGGGCCGUACAUACUUUUGUUUUUCUUCCAUGUCCUUCGAAGAAACCAACGAUGGAGUAACGAAACCGAGCUCGCCCCUCGCUCUCGGUCUUUCCCGGUAUCAACAAUGGCGGAGGGAUCCUUCGAGAAGAAGCCGCGGCCGAUCCUCCGCCCCAUCUUCUUCCUCCUCCUCGGCCUCCACGCCCUCGCCGUAUUCCUCUUCACCCGCGGCUUCCUCCUCACCCGCACCGAGCUCUCCUCCUACAGCCACUGCCACGAUCUCCCCUCCCCGAACCCCUCCCCCUCUCCUCCUCCUCCUCCUCCUCCUCCUCCCACUCCUCGUACUCCACGAGAUCGAGAUCGGGAUCGAGAUCGAGAUCCUCCUCCUCCUCCUCGAUGCUGGACGCGCCCCGCCAUCGAUCGCCUCGUCGUCAUCGUCUUCGAUGCCCUAAGGUGAUCAAUUUGAAGGGUUUGGAACCCUAGUUUCGUCAAUUUUUGUUGUUUCGAACCGUCGAUCAUCGUGUUGUUCGAGGUCGGAUUCGGUGAGAAUUCAUUCAUUUGUUGUUGGCUGUAAGAUCGAUCCGACUUCUACUGCAGGAGAAAUUAGAAAUGUGGUUCUGAGACUGAAAAUUAGCAGGGUACAGAGAAUUUGGAGGUAUUUUAAUUUAAUACUUCUUUUAGAAGCGCUACUCAGAACAGCACUCGGGGCAAUAGUGGUGGGGUGAAAUGCCCCCUUCUUAAGAUAGAUUAGCUUUCCGAGCAGUAAAAUAGAACGGAGAUCUACUCGACUCCAAUUUGUCUCGAAGAGAAUUAUUCAUUUCAUGUUGAUCUGAAUUGAAUUCUUGUUAGAAAUAUUUUCCUGUUAUGCCGUGUUCUGUGAUUCGCAUGAAGGUUAUUCAAUUUUUGAUAGCUGGUUUUGUGUGUUCAUCAAUGGCUCAGUUCCUGAUUCUCAUGUCAUUACACCCUGCAGGUUCGAUUUUGUUGCUCCUAGUACAUUCUUUGAAGGUAACACACACACACUCUCUCUCUCUAUGUAGUACUAGACGGUGAAUUUAUUUUUGAUGUUAUCUUAAUUUUUUUGUUGAGAAAGUGAACCUACUCUUAUUGCAUUAUAGAGAAAAAGCCAUGGAUGGACAAGUUACGGGUGUUACAUAAGCUGGCCUCUGAUGAAGGAUCAUCUGCUAGGAUCUUUAAGGCCAUUGCCGAUCCACCGACAACUAGCCUGCAACGGCUAAAGGUGAGUCUGUCCAUUGCAUUCGUUUCAGAUAACCUGAUUGGAACUGGAAUUCUUGAAUGGUUGUAUCAUUGUUUCAUUGCAAUAGCUUCGCCACACCGUCAGUUGUUUAAUUAGAGAUUUUUAUGAUUUAUCCUUCAAGAUAUGCUAUAUGACCAUCUUUUUCCUUUUUCUUUUUUAUUGACAUUCAUGCAAUUUUAUGAUGCUCUUUUGUUAAUACACUUUCGUUCAGCAGAUAAUGUUGUCUUCUGGAUGCUUGAUAACUGAAGUUGGAUAAUUUUGAUAGGGUAUAAAUGUCCUUAGAAAUUUAUCGAGCCAUAUCUAAUCUCCUUCUCUUUUGUGGUCUCAUCCUGGAUUUAUUUUUGCUCGUCAUUCUAAUCCGGCUGUAGGGAAAUUAAUGUUAGGACUAGUGUAGUAACCCGUGCGUUGCGACAGGUAGAUACUAUUAAAAUAAAUUUAGUAUCUAACUAAUAUAUCAAAAAUUUAUUAUUAUUUUAAAAAUCAAAAUAGUCCAAGCAUAUUGGCUUCUUGUAAAAGUAUAUUAAUUUGCUAAAGUUGAUUAGUAACAAAAUGUUCAUAGAAAGAUAAUAAGUAUGUUAACCUAUUGAGACGAAAAAUGACAUNAAUGAAAAAAAGAUGAAAGUACUGAGAAAAAUAAUUGACUAUAUUCUACAAAUAUUUUAAUCUAACUAUAUACUAGAUUUUUCCAGAAAUAAAAGAACUUCCCUAUUCAUAGAAUCGAAUAUAUCUUUUACUCCCUUAUUUUUAUAUUGAAUAUGUUUUUACAAAUACAGUGCGGGGCUCGGGCUAGGAAAACCGGCCAAGCUCUCGCAGCUUGUCUGCGGCUUGCUUGUCUCGGACGGAACAGGCGGGUUCCGAGUUGGCAUAUGAAAAGUUAUAUAAUAAAUUUUUAAGAGACAAAAAGAUAUACAACCUAACACAACCAAAUACAGUAAAUAUAAUACAGAACUUUACUUUUGAGAAAAAAAAAUAAAAAACAAAGGAUAGAAAAAGAAAAAAUAAUAAAUCUUCAACAUAACAAACACAUUAGUCUGAAUACCAUGCAAAUAAAAAAAACUUAAAAAAACUGAAUAAAACUAUCAAAGAAAUUUCAACGAUACAACAUAAAGAAUACAUUAAUCUUUUAAAAUAACUCCUGAAAUUUGAAGGAAAGCUCGAUUUGAUGAAGAUGGUAACGCUAAGCUCGACGAUGCAGCGUGCAAAUUUAUACUCCAUCUACAUAACGUGCUUGAUCUUAGCCUCGGAGCUCAUGGAGGAGGAAAAGAAAGUAGAGAAGAAGAGAUGAUUUACUGUUUAGAUUAGGAUUAAAGUAGGUGAACCAUUAAUUAGACGUUAUGUUUGUAGGAAAGGUGAAGGGUUGGAUUAAGGUGAGUGGACUAUUAAUUAAACGUUAUGUUUGUAGGAAAGGCGAAGGGUUGGAUUAAGGUGAGUGGGCUAUUAAUUAAAUGUUAUAGGUGGAGGGAAGGAUUAGAUAUUAUAGGUGGAGGGAAGACGACGUUAUGUGUAUAGAAAAGGCGAAGGGUUAGGUUAAGCUUAGUGGACUAUUAAUCUAUUACUCUUUAUGAAUCCCUAAUGCUUUAAGCUGAUGUGUUAUAACUUUCUAAUUUUGAAAUUUUUUUUAUUUAGAAUAAGUCAUUUUAUUUUCUCUCAACAUACGUCUCUUCAUCUCCUCCAUUUAAUUUUUAAAUAUAUGUCUUUUCAUCUCCCCCAUUCAAUUUUUAUUUAGAAUGAAUCAUUUUACUUAAAUUUUUUUUUUAUUUAGAAUGAGUCAUUUUAUUCUCUCUCAACAUACGUCUAUUCAUCUCCCCCAUUUAAUUUUUUUUUUUAGAAUGAGACAUUAAUUUUACUCUCUCUCUCUCAAUAUACGUUUCUUCAUAUCCCCCAUUUAAUUUUUAUUUAGAGUAAGCCAUUUUACUCUUUCUCUCAACAUACGUCUCUUCAUCUCCCCCAUUCAGUUUUUAUUUAGAGUGAGCCAUUUUACUCUCUCACAACAUACGUCUCUUCAUCUCCCCCAUUCAGUUUUUAUUUAGAGUGAGCCAUUUUACUCUCUCUCUCAACAUACGUCUUCUCAUCUCUCUUAUUUUAUUUUCUUUCUCAACAUACGUCUCUUCAUCUCCCUCAUUUAAUUUUUAUUUAGAAGGAGCCAUUUUACUCUCUCUUUUUCCAUCGU